GAUGAACGCUGGCGGCGUGCCUAACACAUGCAAGUCGAGCGAUUCUCUUCGGAGAAGAGCGGCGAACGGGUGAGUAACGCGUAGGCAAUCUGCCUUCUAGAUGGGGACAACAUACCGAAAGGUAUGCUAAUACGAGAUAAUAUACUUUUAUCGCAUGGGAGAAGUAUCAAAGCUUUUGCGGUACAGGAUGGACCCGCGUCUGAUUAGCUAGUUGGUAGGGUAACGGCUUACCAAGGCGACGAUCAGUAGCCGACCUGAGAGGGUGAUCGGCCACAUUGGAACUGAGACACGGUCCAAACUCCUACGGGAGGCAGCAGUGGGGAAUAUUGCACAAUGGGCGAAAGCCUGAUGCAGCAACGCCGCGUGAGCGAUGAAGGCCUUCGGGUCGUAAAGCUCUGUCCUCAAGGAAGAUAAUGACGGUACUUGAGGAGGAAGCCCCGGCUAACUACGUGCCAGCAGCAGCCGCUG
This 468-nucleotide ribosomal RNA is filed under the name uncultured bacterium. RNAcentral describes it as "partial 16S ribosomal RNA". It matches the Rfam family "Bacterial small subunit ribosomal RNA", at positions 28 to 523 of the family's 1533-position model. The record is from RNAcentral.